Molecule: ribosomal RNA, 253 nt
Filed under: uncultured bacterium
Lineage: Bacteria
Description: partial 16S ribosomal RNA
Rfam family: Bacterial small subunit ribosomal RNA
Source: RNAcentral
UACGUAUGGUGCAAGCGUUAUCCGGAUUUACUGGGUGUAAAGGAAGCGCAGGCGGCACGGCAAGCCUGAUGUGAAAGCCCGCGGCCCAACCGCGGGACUGCAUUGGGAACUACCGGGCUGGAGCGCCGGAGAGGUAGGCGGAAUUCCUAGUGUAGCGGUGAAAUGCGUAGAUAUUAGGAGGAACACCAGUGGCGAAGGCGGCCUACUGGACGGUGACUGACGCUGAGGCUCGAAAGCGUGGGGAGCAAACAGG